AGUGAACGCUGGCGGUAGGCCUAACACAUGCAAGUCGAACGGCAGCACAGUAAGAGCUUGCUCUUACGGGUGGCGAGUGGCGUACGGGUGAGGAAUACAUCGGAAUCUACUUUUUCGUGGGGGAUAACGUAGGGAAACUUACGCUAAUACCGCAUACGACCUCCGGGUGAAAGCAGGGGAUCUUCGGACCUUGCGCGAUUGAAUGAGCCGAUGUCGGAUUAGCUAGUUGGCGGGGUAAAGGCCCACCAAGGCGACGAUCCGAAGCUGGUCUGAGAGGAUGAUCAGCUACACUGGAACUGAGACACGGUCCAGACUCUUACGGGAGGCAGCAGUGGGGAAUAUUGGACAAUGGGGGCAAGCCUGAUCCAGCCAUACCGCGUAGGUGAAGAAGGCCUUAGGGUUGUAAAGCCCUUUUGUUGGGAAAGAAAAGCAGCAGGUUAAUACCCCGCUGUUCUGACGGUACCCAAAGAAUAAGCACCGGCUAACUUCGUG
RNAcentral lists this ribosomal RNA (492 nucleotides) under uncultured bacterium. RNAcentral describes it as "partial 16S ribosomal RNA". It matches the Rfam family "Bacterial small subunit ribosomal RNA", at positions 29 to 507 of the family's 1533-position model. The record is from RNAcentral.